ACUAAGCGUACACGGUGGAUGCCCUGGCAGUCAGAGGCGAUGAAGGACGUGCUAAUCUGCGAUAAGCGUCGGUAAGGUGAUAUGAACCGUUAUAACCGGCGAUUUCCGAAUGGGGAAACCCAGUGUGAUUCGUCACACUAUCAUUAACUGAAUCCAUAGGUUAAUGAGGCGAACCGGGGGAACUGAAACAUCUAAGUACCCCGAGGAAAAGAAAUCAACCGAGAUUCCCCCAGUAGCGGCGAGCGAACGGGGAGCAGCCCAGAGCCUGAAUCAGUGUGUGUGUUAGUGGAAGCGUCUGGAAAGGCGUGCGAUACAGGGUGACAGCCCCGUACACAAAAAUGCACAUAUUGUGAGCUCGAUGAGUAGGGCGGGACACGUGGUAUCCUGUCUGAAUAUGGGGGGACCAUCCUCCAAGGCUAAAUACUCCUGACUGACCGAUAGUGAACCAGUACCGUGAGGGAAAGGCGAAAAGAACCCCGGCGAGGGGAGUGAAAAAGAACCUGAAACCGUGUACGUACAAGCAGUGGGAGCACGCUUAGGCGUGUGACUGCGUACCUUUUGUAUAAUGGGUCAGCGACUUAUAUUCUGUAGCAAGGUUAACCGAAUAGGGGAGCCGAAGGGAAACCGAGUCUUAACUGGGCGUUAAGUUGCAGGGUAUAGACCCGAAACCCGGUGAUCUAGCCAUGGGCAGGUUGAAGGUUGGGUAACACUAACUGGAGGACCGAACCGACUAAUGUUGAAAAAUUAGCGGAUGACUUGUGGCUGGGGGUGAAAGGCCAAUCAAACCGGGAGAUAGCUGGUUCUCCCCGAAAGCUAUUUAGGUAGCGCCUCGUGAAUUCAUCUCCGGGGGUAGAGCACUGUUUCGGCAAGGGGGUCAUCCCGACUUACCAACCCGAUGCAAACUGCGAAUACCGGAGAAUGUUAUCACGGGAGACACACGGCGGGUGCUAACGUCCGUCGUGAAGAGGGAAACAACCCAGACCGCCAGCUAAGGUCCCAAAGUCAUGGUUAAGUGGGAAACGAUGUGGGAAGGCCCAGACAGCCAGGAUGUUGGCUUAGAAGCAGCCAUCAUUUAAAGAAAGCGUAAUAGCUCACUGGUCGAGUCGGCCUGCGCGGAAGAUGUAACGGGGCUAAACCAUGCACCGAAGCUGCGGCAGCGACACUAUGUGUUGUUGGGUAGGGGAGCGUUCUGUAAGCCUGUGAAGGUGUACUGUGAGGUAUGCUGGAGGUAUCAGAAGUGCGAAUGCUGACAUAAGUAACGAUAAAGCGGGUGAAAAGCCCGCUCGCCGGAAGACCAAGGGUUCCUGUCCAACGUUAAUCGGGGCAGGGUGAGUCGACUCCUAAGGCGAGGCCGAAAGGCGUAGUCGAUGGGAAACAGGUUAAUAUUCCUGUACUUGGUGUUACUGCGAAGGGGGACGGAGAAGGCUAUGUUGGCCGGGCGACGGUUGUCCCGGUUUAAGCGUGUAGGCUGGUUUUCCAGGCAAAUCCGGAAAACUAAGGCUGAGGCGUGAUGACGAGGCACUACGGUGCUGAAGCAACAAAUGCCCUGCUUCCAGGAAAAGCCUCUAAGCAUCAGGUAACAUCAAAUCGUACCCCAAACCGACACAGGUGGUCAGGUAGAGAAUACCAAGGCGCUUGAGAGAACUCGGGUGAAGGAACUAGGCAAAAUGGUGCCGUAACUUCGGGAGAAGGCACGCUGAUAUGUAGGUGAAGUCCCUCGCGGAUGGAGCUGAAAUCAGUCGAAGAUACCAGCUGGCUGCAACUGUUUAUUAAAAACACAGCACUGUGCAAACACGAAAGUGGACGUAUACGGUGUGACGCCUGCCCGGUGCCGGAAGGUUAAUUGAUGGGGUCAGCGCAAGCGAAGCUCUUGAUCGAAGCCCCGGUAAACGGCGGCCGUAACUAUAACGGUCCUAAGGUAGCGAAAUUCCUUGUCGGGUAAGUUCCGACCUGCACGAAUGGCGUAAUGAUGGCCAGGCUGUCUCCACCCGAGACUCAGUGAAAUUGAACUCGCUGUGAAGAUGCAGUGUACCCGCGGCAAGACGGAAAGACCCCGUGAACCUUUACUAUAGCUUGACACUGAACAUUGAGCCUUGAUGUGUAGGAUAGGUGGGAGGCUUUGAAGUGUGGACGCCAGUCUGCAUGGAGCCGACCUUGAAAUACCACCCUUUAAUGUUUGAUGUUCUAACGUUGACCCGUAAUCCGGGUUGCGGACAGUGUCUGGUGGGUAGUUUGACUGGGGCGGUCUCCUCCUAAAGAGUAACGGAGGAGCACGAAGGUUGGCUAAUCCUGGUCGGACAUCAGGAGGUUAGUGCAAUGGCAUAAGCCAGCUUGACUGCGAGCGUGACGGCGCGAGCAGGUGCGAAAGCAGGUCAUAGUGAUCCGGUGGUUCUGAAUGGAAGGGCCAUCGCUCAACGGAUAAAAGGUACUCCGGGGAUAACAGGCUGAUACCGCCCAAGAGUUCAUAUCGACGGCGGUGUUUGGCACCUCGAUGUCGGCUCAUCACAUCCUGGGGCUGAAGUAGGUCCCAAGGGUAUGGCUGUUCGCCAUUUAAAGUGGUACGCGAGCUGGGUUUAGAACGUCGUGAGACAGUUCGGUCCCUAUCUGCCGUGGGCGCUGGAGAACUGAGGGGGGCUGCUCCUAGUACGAGAGGACCGGAGUGGACGCAUCACUGGUGUUCGGGUUGUCAUGCCAAUGGCACUGCCCGGUAGCUAAAUGCGGAAGAGAUAAGUGCUGAAAGCAUCUAAGCACGAAACUUGCCCCGAGAUGAGUUCUCCCUGACUCCUUGAGAGUCCUGAAGGAACGUUGAAGACGACGACGUUGAUAGGUCGGGUGUGUAAGCGCAGCGAUGCGUUGAGCUAACCGGUACUAAUGAACCGUGAGGCUUAACC
This 2891-nucleotide ribosomal RNA is filed under the name Shigella dysenteriae. Its description in RNAcentral is "bacterial LSU rRNA". It matches the Rfam family "Bacterial large subunit ribosomal RNA". The record is from RNAcentral. Lineage: Bacteria; Pseudomonadati; Pseudomonadota; Gammaproteobacteria; Enterobacterales; Enterobacteriaceae.